UGGGGGUGUUACAGUUGAGGGAGGAUGAGACAAAGCCUGGCAACAGGGCCUAGACAUCGAAGGCGAUGUCUAGCCCCUGUUGCCAAGCUUUGUCUCAUCCUCCCUCAACUGUAACACCCCCAAG
This 124-nucleotide microRNA precursor is filed under the name Anopheles arabiensis. RNAcentral describes it as "microRNA mir-241". The record is from RNAcentral. Lineage: Eukaryota; Metazoa; Arthropoda; Insecta; Diptera; Culicidae.